UCAGACCGCCUCCCCCUUCAGUGUACCCUUCUACUUAUCCACCACCAAAUCAACCAACUUCUAUGCCUGAGACACUGCCAAGCAGCAUGCCCAUGCAAAUGUCUUUUCCAUCUAUUCCUCAACCUGGUUCAAGCCGUGUGGAUGCAGGGCCUUAUGGGUAUGCUGCCGGAAGUGGUGGUUCUGCUCCACAACAACCUCCUCAAGUGAAAAAUGCUUAUGGUCCACCAACAGGUGAGGGAUAUAUGCCUCCUGGACAACAAUCUGGAGGAGCAUAUAUGAUGUAUGAUAGGGAAAGCGGAAGACCGCCACACCAUCCGCCUCAACAAACGCACUUCAAUCAAAGUGGAUAUCCUCUGGCCAAUGCACCUCAUCAGGUUCCUCCUCAAGCACCAGCAGGCCCCCAUGUUUCAGCUAGGAAUCCAAGUCAUUCACAUCUAAUCG
RNAcentral lists this long non-coding RNA (441 nucleotides) under Cucumis sativus (cucumber). Its description in RNAcentral is "long non-coding RNA (CSAT_LNC002624)". The record is from RNAcentral. Lineage: Eukaryota; Viridiplantae; Streptophyta; Magnoliopsida; Cucurbitales; Cucurbitaceae.